UCCAAUGUAAACAAUUUUAUUAUUUUGCAAAUAUCAGCGUAGCUUUUCUGGUCGAUUAAAUAGUAAAAAAUGGCCGACCAGUACACCAUAAAGGUUGAUCGUUCUAAGGCAGCGUCCGUUGAUGCUUAUCUAGAAUACAAAAGGAUUGUAGGUGAAGACGAUGGAGGUGUCAUGUUUACUCCAGAGGAAUACGAAGACUACAAGAAGAAAGUCUUACCAAUGGUAU
This is a long non-coding RNA of Gigantopelta aegis, 226 nucleotides long. RefSeq lists it as uncharacterized. Lineage: Eukaryota; Metazoa; Mollusca; Gastropoda; Neomphalida; Peltospiridae. The record is from RefSeq and is a predicted model, not a curated record. The transcript is spliced from 2 exons.